UGAAAUACCAGUUCCAGUAAGAUCACCGAAGUUAAGCAACGUCGAGCCUGGCCAGUAUCUAGAUGGGUGCCCGCUUAAGAAUACCGGAUGCUGUAAG
Molecule: non-coding RNA, 97 nt
Organism: Acanthosepion pharaonis
Lineage: Eukaryota; Metazoa; Mollusca; Cephalopoda; Sepiida; Sepiidae
Source: the annotation of a GenBank genome assembly